This 449-nucleotide ribosomal RNA is filed under the name uncultured bacterium. RNAcentral's name for it is "partial 16S ribosomal RNA". It matches the Rfam family "Bacterial small subunit ribosomal RNA", at positions 29 to 523 of the family's 1533-position model. The record is from RNAcentral.
AACGAACGCUGGCGGCAGGCCUAACACAUGCAAGUCGAACGCUCUAGCAAUAGAGAGUGGCAGGCGGGUGAGUAACGCGUGGGAACCUUCCCAAUGGUGCAGAAUAGCCCAGGGAAACUUGGGGUAAUACUGCAUAAGCCCUUCGGGGGAAAGAUUUAUCGCCAUUGGAUGGGCCCGCGUCGGAUUAGCUAGUUGGUGAGGUAAUGGCUCACCAAGGCAACGAUCCGUAGCUGGUUUGAGAGAAUGACCAGCCACACUGGGACUAAGACACGGCCCAGACUCCUACGGGAGGCAGCAGUGGGGAAUCUUGGACAAUUGGCGCAAGCCUGAUCCAGCCAUGCCGCGUGAGUGACGAAGGCCUUAGGGUUGUAAAGCUCUUUUGCCGGGGACGAUAAUGACGGUACCCGGAGAAUAAGUCCCGGCUAACUUCGUGCCAGCAGCCGCGGUAA